GGAUGAAGAACGCAGCGAAAUGCGAUACGUAAUGUGAAUUGCAGAAUUCAGUGAAUCAUCGAAUCUUUGAACGCAUAUUGCGCUCUCUGGUAUUCCGGAGAGCAUGCUUGUUUGAGUAUCAGUAAACACCUCAACUUCCAUAUCUUUUUUGAAAUGGGAGUUGGACUUGAGUGAUCCCAACGCUUUUCCUCACCGAAAAGUGGCGGGUUACUUGAAAUGCAGGUGCAGCUGGACUUUUCUCUGAGCUAUAAGCAUAUCUAUUUAGUCUGCCUAAAAAACAGAUUAUUACCUUUGCUGCAGCUAACAUAAAGGAGAUUAGUUCUUGUGCUGACUGAUGCAGGAUUCACAAAGACAGGCUUCGGCCGACUUUGUAAACUCGAUCUCAAAUCAAGUAAGACUACCCGCUGAACUUAAGCAUAUCAAUAAGCGAAGGA
RNAcentral lists this unclassified non-coding RNA (434 nucleotides) under soil metagenome. RNAcentral's name for it is "partial contains 5.8S ribosomal RNA, internal transcribed spacer 2, and large subunit ribosomal RNA". The stretch from base 2 to 121 matches the Rfam family "5.8S ribosomal RNA", at positions 35 to 154 of the family's 154-position model. The record is from RNAcentral.